GACCACAAGAUGGUGCCAAUUGAUUAUAAUAUACUUUUGUAUCUAUAUGACCUGGUAAACUCCAAUUAAUAUUUUGCCAAAACAUUUCAAUAUGGCAACAUCAGCAAUUUUUUUCCAGUGAAAAUAUAUUUUACAAAAGAUAUAUUUAUUAUAUUUCUCUUAAGCAACUUUGACUUUUUUUUGUUUUCUAUUUUACAUUUCAGUUGAUACCUAAAUCUACCAUCAAUUCCCAUUGAUGUAAGACCUAGGUGUCAAUUCACUGUCUGAUGAUGACUCGGAGAAGCUAUAACGGAUACCUAGACUAACUGGCGCAGCAUUUUGCCAAUUGCUGUAACCCGGAUUUGCAAGAUUGCUGGGUUGGUAUUGGUCCCCCAUCUCAAUGUAUCUAUGAUCAGAUGAAUACCCAAUUUGGUUAUAAAAUGUUUUUGCCCUGUGUUGAUUUGGGUACUCCUCCACUACCUCACCUUGUGUGAGCAAAGCAAUCUCACUUGAAACUCCAACAACCUCUUGUAAUGAGUUCCAAUUUUCAUAUGCUUGUCUAAUCAAAUUGUGAAUGAAGCCCCUAUUAAUUCUGGGAAGAUCCCUAGUAGAGUAUGUUUGCCUAUUAAUAGUGGCGGCAACAACUUGACAUAUAGGGUUCAAUGUGACACUAAAAUUCUCUCCAUGAAAAACGUAAUGUUUUUUUCCCAGAUCACACGUCUUUGCGUGCUUUAUUGUUGCUUCCCAUAUUUUCUCAGACAUUCCAGGACCUAAAAUCCUCCUAAGCUUUUGUUGGUUGACAAUGAACAAUUUCAAUAAUUCUUGCACCGAGUUAAUGCCUUCAGCAGCUAGCUUUUUGUGGAAAGCUCCAUCUUUCCCAAUCUUCUCAAGACGCCAGACCUCAUCAUCCAACAUUGGUGGGUGAUGCUUCUUGUACAAUUCUCCUCGAUGAUCCUUGACAACAAAAGGUUCAGUCAUUGCUUCACGAAUCCGAGCACCGUGGAAGCUCCCCGGAACCACUCUUGCACCAAGCCUAAAUUUCCUGCUUCUAAUCCAGCUUGAAUUAUCGGUGAACUCAAUCUCUCCGAGUGCUGCAAUUCCAUCUCUUAAAGUGACCGUCAAGCAAUCUCCUGCAAGCAAAGGCCUCUUGCCGGUUCUCUCCUUCAAUAUAUUUUUGUCGAAUUCUUCACUAUUCCAAGUAUUCCGAUCAUCAGAAGGGAAAUCUCCAUCAAGAACGACGAUUUCUAUUUUGAUUGGAGGAGGGGUUGGAACCACUACAUCACCUCUAGUGUCUACUAAAAGGAUUUGAAGGAAAGAGCUAUCUGUAUUAACGAUUUUGCUCCCUGUAAAUAUUGGGAGUGAAAGAUUUUUGCUAAACAUUAGUUGCAGGCUUGAUGGUACUGGCUCAGGUGCCUGGAUUCGCAACGAAGGAGACCGAGUGAAAGGGCGUGAUAAAUGCAUUUUCAGACUGCUCUCCACUUCUUCAUUCACCACUCGCCUGAGCAUUGGCUCCAAGGCCAUACAGAAGUUCUGUAAAGAAUUCACCAUAACCGCUUCUGUAAUUACUGAUGCAAAAGAAGGCCUAGUUCUCUUUCGUUUCUCAAUUAGGUGAUCUGGGUCGGAACCUGAUUCAUCAUGAAAUCGUUUCGCUGCCAUAAUUAGAGCCAAAAGAGAUUCAGAGAGAAGAUGAUGAUGAGAAGUUGCAGUUAGGGAUUGUUGAG
RNAcentral lists this unclassified non-coding RNA (1700 nucleotides) under Hevea brasiliensis (rubber tree). The record is from RNAcentral. Lineage: Eukaryota; Viridiplantae; Streptophyta; Magnoliopsida; Malpighiales; Euphorbiaceae.